AAAGUUCACGAAUUCUAUCGGUUUUACGUCCCGGAAAAAUCAAUUACGACAAAUCGAAAUUCCCAAUAAACCAGACCAAAAAUUCCGCCUCGAUUUAACCGUGGAGAUUUUCCAACUCCUCGGUGUACUUUGAUUCCAUGGCUCUGUCGUGCGACCAAAAUUCGUUGUCACCCGGAGCAGGUGUAGAAAAAUUCGUGCGCAAUCAUUAAACUAAAGUAAAGCGCGCACGAUAUAACGUUCGAUAACAACGUGACCAAUUGUUCAAACAUCAGAUAAUUCGAGAGAGAGAGAGAGAGAGAGAGAGAGGCCGAGCGAAACAGCGGGAGAUAUCGAGUCUGUAUAGCGCAAACAGAAAGAAUCUGGUGCAAUGGCGGGCUAUCGGCUUAUCAGAAGCAUUAAAGACGGAGAGGGAGCUACUCGGGCCGGAGAUAUCUGUCGGUGGAACGUGGAUGAAGAAAUAGCGCGAUUCAGUGUGCGCUAAGAAUUCGGAGGGAGCGCGUUGUUGGUGGUUUCGGUGAUCGAGGAACGAUGUUGAAAUACCAUCGACUGAUUCCCCGGGUCAGGUUACGAGGAGCGCGCUUAAUUCGAGUGUAUACAAAGUCGACAGUGGUUUUCUAUUCGUUCGUAGUAGUCUGUUUUCUCAUGUUUAUCUCGCUUAGAACACGGAGACUCUCAAAGCUGAAAGACCUCGCGGAGGUUAAGUUCGAGGAGCUGAAUUUGGAACUGAGCAGGCUACCGAGACCAGCGGAAGCGGAAGACUCUUGGAAGAGGCCGCGCAUCGAAGACACCGCGAUACUUUCGGCUUAUUUGGAGACUCGGCCCGAGGUCGUUCUCGAAGAGGACUCGAGUCUGCAGCGUGACAACCACGCCUGGGCAAUGAUCAGGAUCAUCGGCAUAAUACCGACGAGAUUGGAAAAGUCUCGGUUGUAUUGCUACCACAGAUACAGGUACAAAGAGAGUUGGGAGAGGAAGGAUGUUGUGUUCGAGGAGAAAUCGAUCGGCACGCGAUUGGCAGCGUACAAGGAAAAUUUUGGAAUGGCCAACUGCGCGGCGCACAUUCUCUGCGAAUUGCCAGGACGCCUGAACAGGAGCGAGCGGAUUCGCCUGCCGUACGAGGUGACGGUAACUUUGGAGGCCGUGGAAAACGCGAGGGAUCUGAGGGACCGAGAAUUCGUCGUCGUGCGUUAUCCGAAUAACGGUUGGAAAGAUGUGAGCGAUGAGAGCAGGCCGAGGGAGGACGGCGUGGCCGUUUGCGUUCAACCGCUUCAUCACCGGUUCGGCGACGACCUCGAUCUGGUCGCGUUCGUCGAAUUUUAUCGGGGCAUGGGGGUCAGCAGAUUCACUUUUUACAGGGACUCGGUGAGCCCUCGGGUGAACAAGGUCCUCGAGCACUACGUCGGUGAGGGAAUAGUGACGAUGAUCGAUUGGAAGCUGCCAGAUUUUUAUGCUUUCGAGAGGAAUCUCCGGGUCGACGGUAUUUUCGCGGCCCUCAAUGACUGUCUUUACAGAAGUACUUUCCACGCUGGUUAUCGAUACGUUGCGGGGGUCGACGUCGACGAGUACAUAGUGCCGAAGGAGCACGAUAAUUUUCAACAAAUGAUGGAGCACUUGAAUCCCCGGGGCAACGAUGAGCAAAUUGGCGCGUGGAUAUUUCGAAACGUUUUUUUUUACCUCAUGCACCCGGACGACACGAGCACUCUAGCGCCAAAUCUUCCGAGACUGAAACUCCACGUGAAAACGUGGCGCUGGCGAAAGACGAAUUCUGCAUGGGAUCGGAGCAAAUUUAUCGUCCAAGGACGCGACAUCAUUGAUUUGGGCAAUCAUCGCGUGUGGUUGACCAAACGAAGCUGGUCGAUUUUCGGGAGACGCUACCGGGAAGUCACCGUUGAACCCAAAAUAGCGAGCUCUCAUCACUACAGAAAGUGCGAAACAAAGAUCGAAACCUGUUGGCAAAGAAGUACAGAAAUCGACAGAACGGCGCAUCGAUUUACGGCUCGAGUCGCCCAAAGGGUCAGCGAUGUUUUGAGAAUCGUUUUUCCGGACGAAGCAUCUCGCCCGGGAUACAACACUAGCUUACCUUGACGAUAGAUGGGGAAUUCGCCGUCGCUGUGACUGUGCCUCAACAUUCUCGCGGAGUAGAAACGCCGCCACGAGCCUCGUUUCCGGUCCCUCGUCGAGUUUCCGGCAACGAGGAUCGCCUCGUCUCUCGCGAGGCUCAAUAGACUCGCCACCUCUUCGAAUCUCAGCUCGGCCACUUUACAACUCUCCUCCACUUUCGUAUGCUGGCCCAAAAGAGACGCCUCGACGAUCUCCUGCCUCCGGUGUUUGUCCAAUCGAUUCGAACAGCUUCUUCCGGAAUACAGCCUCGAGGCUCCGUGUGUCUUCUUGGCUUAUUCACCCAUCGGCGCUGCGGAGCGGCUAACGGUCAGUCUAUAUUUCAACGUGUCCAAACGCACAGUCGGAAUAUUCUGUUGAUUGGCAAACUCGUCCUUCCAUCGAUACGACGAGAUAUCCACGGAUCGAGCGAGCAAAGAAACUCUUCGGGGCGCUUCUUCUACCGAUUUUCAUCUCGAAUGGUCGUACUAAUAAAAGCUUUAAAGCUCCUUAAAACAGAGGAGUUAUGAAAGAUUAGUGAAUCGUGAAAAGACUUGAAACGGCGACGCACAAACUGUUAUACGAAGAUUAAACGAACAGGCGUCGUCGAGAGAAAAGAGAACGAGAGGACGACGAUCGUCCGGGACGGCUUCGAAGCGAACACUGCUACGACGAUAGUUGACGCGGAGGGCGAGAGAAAGAGCCCACGGAGGGAGAGAGAGAGAAAGUGCGAGGUUGCGGUACGAGAGCAAACGGCGCAAGCUUGGCCGAAAAGCGAGCUGUGGAACCACAUCAUCCUAUUUUGUCUCGCGACUACACCCACGACCUAUCCUCCGGAAAAACCUAUUGGGAGAGAGGCCACGACGGUGCAUGCUUCUUCACCUGCGCAGGGAGAACGGAAAGUAGAAUAUCGCCUCUGUAACUAUCUCCUCUCGUGAGCCACGACACGAGCUCUUCUCGAUAAGCUGAGCUGCUCUAUCCUCCAAACGACUCUCGCCUCGCUGGACCAACCGAGGAAGCGAGAGAAAGAGAGAGAGAAAGCAAAGGGACAAGGACGAGUUUGCGAGUGUGGCGCUCGUGACUCGGCUAGGGGGUCAAGGCCGAAUCACGAGAUCUUUCUCUUCGGUGCGAGGGUACGGACGAUCGAUCACCAACCUCACCGUUGCGUAGCCGACUGUCGUUAAUACCGAUCUCCACUUUUUCCGUUAACAAUCACAUUCGCUCUUUGAUUUACUGCCGGUUGGUGUUUUACGACGCGGAUCAAGAACCUCGGUAGAGAAUCGACGCUCCUCGAAUACACCGCCCCGUUUUAGCCUCCCACCACUGGUGAAAAUUUGUAUCAGCAUCCGCUGCACGACUCGUGUCUGCCUCAAGAGUAUGGAUCGGUCGACUAACCUCACUUGGAAUUUUCGAUAUCGAAAUUCUUCGAGACAGUUUGACCGAUUAAAAAAAAGCUCUGCCAGCCUACGCAGAACGAUGACAAAAAUCGACUGACAGAGCCUUUUUUUAAUCGGUCAAACUGUCUCGAAGAAUUUCGAUUUCAAAAUUUGCAGCUAUCUCUCUCUCGCACCGACUGAUCCAUCCUCUCAAGGAUGCUACUCGGUUAUCCGACUAGUCUGGUAACCUGGUGACUGGGGAAAAGUGUACAGCUACUCCGUGUGAUUUCUCAUAAGAGGCCAUGUUAACGUGACUUGUCGAGGCAGAAAAUAAAUUACAGAUAUUUCGCGUUACAA
Molecule: unclassified non-coding RNA, 3827 nt
Filed under: Venturia canescens
Lineage: Eukaryota; Metazoa; Arthropoda; Insecta; Hymenoptera; Ichneumonidae
Description: uncharacterized LOC122409370, transcript variant X1
Source: RNAcentral